AUCUAUGGCCAUUCUACCCUGAAAAAGCCUGAUCUAUCUGAUCUCGGAAGCUAAGCAGGGUCAGGCCUGGUUAGUACUUGGAUGGGAGACCACCUACAAAGACCAAGUACUGUAGGUG
RNAcentral lists this ribosomal RNA (118 nucleotides) under Pteropus alecto (black flying fox). Lineage: Eukaryota; Metazoa; Chordata; Mammalia; Chiroptera; Pteropodidae. The record is from RNAcentral.